RNAcentral lists this ribosomal RNA (408 nucleotides) under uncultured bacterium. Its description in RNAcentral is "partial 16S ribosomal RNA". It matches the Rfam family "Bacterial small subunit ribosomal RNA", at positions 28 to 526 of the family's 1533-position model. The record is from RNAcentral.
GACGAACGCUGGCGGCGUGCUUAACACAUGCAAGUCGAACGAAGUGGCGAACGGGUGAGUAACGCGUAAUCAACCUUCCCUUCAGAGGGGGACAACAGUUGGAAACGACUGCUAAUACCGCAUACUGAAGGAGGGUAUUGCGUCUGAUUAGCUGGUGGGAGGGGUAACGGCCCACCAAGGCGAGGAUCAGUAGCGGGGCUGGAGUGAGUAACGGCUCCAUUGGGACGGGGGCACGGCCUAGACUCCGACGGGAGGGAGAAGUGGGUAAGCUGCAGCAAUGGAGGAAAGUCGGACGGAGCAAGGCGGGGUGAGUGAUGACGGCCUUCGGGUUGGAAGGCUCUGUGAAUCGGGACGCGGUACCGGAAUAGAAAGCGACGGCUAACUACGUGCCAGCCGCCGCGGUAAUAC